CUUUCAAUCGCCAAACAAAAGUAGAAACAAGCGAAAUCGUGCAUUCAAAAUGUAUCUCGACGACAUGCUUCCAACAGCAAUAUCGUCGAUUGGAUCGUCUCUCGCUUCGUCGUCCAUCCUCGAGGCAGCAUCAUCUACAAUUGCCACCACUACGUCAACCAUGAUUUCGCCUUCUUCGUCCUCCCAAAUACUCAUUCCGCCUCCAUCUACCAUCACCUCAUUUCCGCCACUCUCACCAACCACGGUCGCAACCCUUCUCAGCACGACUUCC
This 271-nucleotide non-coding RNA is filed under the name Conticribra weissflogii. The record is from RNAcentral. Lineage: Eukaryota; Bacillariophyta; Thalassiosirophyceae; Thalassiosirales; Thalassiosiraceae.